This is a non-coding RNA of Vombatus ursinus (common wombat), 931 nucleotides long. NCBI's taxonomy places the organism in Eukaryota, Metazoa, Chordata, Mammalia, Diprotodontia, Vombatidae. The record is from the annotation of a RefSeq genome assembly.
GGCGGGGGAGCAGUAAUGGGGGUAUGGGGAGGGCUCCUAGAUUAUUUGGUAACAGAGGGAAGGCCAGUAGAUGCUUUCCUGAGUUUGAGCUGCAGCCCCAGCUGCUGUGCUAACACCGGGCAGUUGUACUUUGGAGUCGGAACCAGGCUGACAGUGCUGGAUGACCUGAACAAGGUAACUCCUCCAAAGGUGACUGUGUUUCAGCCAUCUGAGGAAGAGAUCGAGGAGAAGGGAAAGGCCACACUGGUCUGUCUGGCCACAGGCUUCUACCCUGACCUUGUGGAGCUGAGCUGGUGGGUGAAUGGGCAGCAGACACAAGUUGGGGUCAGCACAGACCCUCAGCCAUCCAAGGAGCAGCCUGAUAACAACUUCUCCAACUACUCGAUGAGCAGCCGCCUCCGGGUUUCUGCUCCCUUCUGGCGCAAUCCCAAGAACAGUUUCCGUUGCCAAGUAUUGUUCCAUGGGAUCUCAGAGGAUGAGCCCUGGACCGGUAACACAAGCAAACCCAUCACCCAGAAUGUCAGUGACCAGAUCUGGGGAAAGGCAGAUUGUGGAGUCACCUCUGAGUCUUAUCAGCGUAGUAUCCAGUCUGCCACCUUCUUGUAUGAGAUCCUGCUGGGGAAGGCCAUGCUGUACGGCCUGCUGGUCAGUGCCCUGGUGUGGAGAACCAUGGCCAAGAAAAAACAUUCUUGAAGUCAGCUGUGGACCUGGAAGCAGGGAACCAGGAGCCCGGGGCCUUCAUCCUCUCAUCAGCCCAGCUUGGCUUCUCCUUUAUUCAUUUCCAGCCUGCAUUCCGGAAGAGGUGCUCUUCCUUCUCUCCUCAUCUUCAUCCCUCAUAGAUUUCCUCAAAGAGAACUACACAAGCCAAAAGGGACAAAAGCGGUGUAUUAAUCUUAAAGCAAUAAAAAUGUCCUGGUGUGAUCUCACUCAA